This 481-nucleotide ribosomal RNA is filed under the name uncultured bacterium. RNAcentral's name for it is "partial 16S ribosomal RNA". It matches the Rfam family "Bacterial small subunit ribosomal RNA", at positions 28 to 523 of the family's 1533-position model. The record is from RNAcentral.
GACGAACGCUGGCGGCGUGCUUAACGCAUGCAAGUCGAACGCUGAAGCCCUUCGGGGUGGAUGAGUGGCGAACGGGUGAGUAACACGUGGGUAAUCUGCCCUGCACUCUGGGAUAAGCCUUGGAAACGGGGUCUAAUACCGAAUAGGACACAUCGCCGCAUGGUGUGUGUGUGGAAAGUUCCGGCGGUGCAGGUUGAGCCCGCGGCCUAUCAGCUUGUUGGUGGGGUGAUGGCCUACCAAGGCGACGACGGGUAGCCGGCCUGAGAGGGUGACCGGCCACACUGGGACUGAGACACGGCCCAGACUCCUACGGGAGGCAGCAGUGGGGAAUCUUGCGCAAUGGGCGAAAGCCUGACGCAGCAACGCCGCGUGGGGGAUGACGGCCUUCGGGUUGUAAACCUCUUUCGACCGGGACGAAGGAUUCGUUUGACGGUACCGGUAGAAGAAGCACCAGCUAACUACGUGCCAGCCGCCGCCGUAA